RNAcentral lists this unclassified non-coding RNA (243 nucleotides) under plant metagenome. Its description in RNAcentral is "partial contains small subunit ribosomal RNA, internal transcribed spacer 1, and 5.8S ribosomal RNA". The record is from RNAcentral.
UCUCCGUUGGUGAACCAGCGGAGGGAUCAUUACAGAGUUACUAAAACUCCCAAACCCAUGUGAACAUACCUCGCGUUGCCUCGGCAGGUCGCGUCCUACCCUGUACAUCCUACCCUGGAUAGACUUGCCCGGUGGUCGACUCUGCCCUGCCGAUGGCUCAUGCAACUCUGUUUCUCCAGCAUUGGACUUCUGAAAAGUAAACUAAAUCAGUUAAAACUUUCAACAACGGAUCUCUUGGUUCUG